AUGAAGAACGUGUCUGGAUUUGAUGCCGCAAGCCUUGACGGUGACAUGCAGUUUGAGCCUCAUACGAAGGUAGCAGCUGUAUCUCGCUGUUUCCGUUCUGGAUUUUUAACGGCCACAAGCGGAGUAGAUCUUGCCCCUCCAAACCCUCUUACCAGUGAAACAAUUGUAAGCACAUGCCGGGUCCAGAAGGCAGGGAUUGGAGGACCCCUUGUUGAUUUUGAUGGGAGCUUUGUUGGGAUGAACUCCUCCCGUACCAAAAUGAAAAAGACUGCCUACUUGCCAAGGAAGCAAAUUCUUCAUUUCUUGGCAUUUCACAGGAUGGUCAGUGUUAAAGUUAAGGAAGGGGUUGAUGAUGCUACGAGAGCAAGAAUGAACAGUGAGAUGAAAGCAAUUAGGCCAAGUUUGGAUGCUACCUCCAUAGCGAAAUUGAGUGAAUCCAGAAAAGGCGCCUUGAGUAAGCAAGUACUUUCCAGAUUAAGUAUGAGUGUUGUGGCGCUGGCCUCAUUCCAUGGUGAUACCAAGUUACGCGAAUGCACAGGCAUAUGCAUCGAAAGCUCAUGUCCCGAUGCUACAAGUUUCCUCACAUCGAUAAAUUUGAUUCCACUUACUUGGCAUGCAAGCAAGAUCACUAAAAAUUUGACGAUUAAAGUACGCCUUCCGAAUGAUCAGAUUGUCACUGGGUAG
Molecule: ribosomal RNA, 684 nt
Filed under: Triticum aestivum (bread wheat)
Lineage: Eukaryota; Viridiplantae; Streptophyta; Magnoliopsida; Poales; Poaceae
Description: partial small subunit ribosomal RNA
Source: RNAcentral